UCUGGCUCACUUCACCAGCAGUCAUCUGUUGCAGAUGCUUCAAGAGAAGAGCUGUUGGAAAAACACAUCAAGUGUAGAAGACACGUUCAAAAAUAGAAAAUACUAGCCUGGAAGUAUGAACCCUCUUCAUAGAAAGUUUUGAAGUUUUCAAGUCUUUUGAAUUUUAAAUGUUGUCUGGAAAGUGUGGAAAUUGGAAAAUAAUUACUCUGUGUGCUUUCACUAUGAGGUUAAGGUCUCUGCUCUAAUUGUGUUCAUUACACAGAAUGUAUAGGACAAAGCUAAAGACUGAAGCAAGAGGUGAAGAAAUUAAGGCUAUAGCUGAGAAGUGGCAGAAAUGGAUUCAAACUCAGGUCUGACUUCAGAAUCCACAUCUGUAUAUCACUGGACACCAAGGCUCUGUGAGAUCGAGAUUUACAAAUAUACUCAGAAGUACAUGAUCUACGAUUGACUGAAAAAGUUAUGAGAAUAUCUACAGCAAGAGUCCAAUUUUGGGGCAAAAGUCUUUAUACAAGCAUAGGAAAGUCUAAAAUAAAAUACGUAAGACGGUAUUA
Lutra lutra (Eurasian river otter) is the source of this 551-nucleotide long non-coding RNA. RefSeq lists it as uncharacterized. The record is from RefSeq and is a predicted model, not a curated record. The transcript is spliced from 2 exons. Lineage: Eukaryota; Metazoa; Chordata; Mammalia; Carnivora; Mustelidae.